CGGGCUCCGAUCACGGUGUGGUUGGUGUCUAUGGCUUCGUCUCGACAAGAGGAACACAAUGGUGGUCUUUCAUGCAGCUGAAGCUAAACGGAAGUUAUGAAGCUAAUGGUUAGGAAGUUAUGGGCGAUUUACUAAACAGACCCGAAACUGAAGCUAAUGCAUGUGGUUUCCGGUGUUACCUUGGGCGGUUAACGGUGGUGGCGUGCUCGACACAGUCACGGCGUGAGAAGGCUCCGAC
This 238-nucleotide long non-coding RNA is filed under the name Brassica rapa (field mustard). Its description in RNAcentral is "long non-coding RNA (BRAP_LNC004988)". Lineage: Eukaryota; Viridiplantae; Streptophyta; Magnoliopsida; Brassicales; Brassicaceae. The record is from RNAcentral.